AGAGUUUGAUCAUGGCUCAGGACAAACGCUGGCGGCGUGCCUAACACAUGCAAGUCGCACGUCCUCUGGUGCUUUUGCAGCGGAGGGAGUGGCGGACGGGUGAGUAACACGUGGGUGACCUACCCUUAGGUGAGGAAUACCGGCGAGAAAUCGCCGACAAGACCGCAUAGGCUCUCGCAAGAGAGCAAAGCUCCUUGCGUAAGCAAGGGGCGCCAAAGGAUGGGCCUGCGGCCGAUUAGCUAGUUGGUGGGGUAAGGGCUCACCAAGGCGACGAUCGGUAGCUGGUCUGAGAAGACGAUCAGCCACACUGGGAUUGAGAACGGCCCAGACUCCUACGGGGGGCAGCAGUGAGGAAUUUUCCGCAAUGGACGCAAGUCUGACGGAGCAACGCCGCGUGCAGGAGGAAGGUCUUCGGAUUGUAAACUGCUUUUAUCAGGGAAGAGAACGGACGGUACCUGAUGAAGAAGCCCCGGCUAACUACGUGCCAGCAGCCGCGGUAAUACGUAGGGGGCGAGCGUUGUCCGGAAUUAUUGGGCGUAAAGGGCACGCAGGCGGUCUGCCAAGUUCGGGGUGAAAGUCACCAGCUUAACUGGUGAAGGACUUCGAAAACUGGUGGGCUUGAGAGCGAGAGAGGGACAUGGAACUCCGGGCGGAGCAGUGAAAUGCGUAGAUAUCCGGAAGAACACCAAAGGCGAAGGCAGGGUCCUGGCUCGUUUCUGACGCUGAGGUGCGAAAGCUAGGGGAGCGAACGGGAUUAGAUACCCUAGUAGUCC
This 773-nucleotide ribosomal RNA is filed under the name uncultured bacterium. RNAcentral's name for it is "bacterial SSU rRNA". It matches the Rfam family "Bacterial small subunit ribosomal RNA", at positions 8 to 796 of the family's 1533-position model. The record is from RNAcentral.